Molecule: ribosomal RNA, 394 nt
Filed under: uncultured Alphaproteobacteria bacterium
Lineage: Bacteria; Pseudomonadati; Pseudomonadota; Alphaproteobacteria
Description: bacterial SSU rRNA
Rfam family: Bacterial small subunit ribosomal RNA
Source: RNAcentral
CAGCCCUUGACAUGUCCAGGACCGGUCGCAGAGAUGUGACCCUCUCUUCGGAGCCUGGAACACAGGUGCUGCAUGGCUGUCGUCAGCUCGUGUCGUGAGAUGUUGGGUUAAGUCCCGCAACGAGCGCAACCCCCGUCCUUAGUUGCUACCAUUUAGUUGAGCACUCUAAGGAGACUGCCGGUGAUAAGCCGCGAGGAAGGUGGGGAUGACGUCAAGUCCUCAUGGCCCUUACGGGCUGGGCUACACACGUGCUACAAUGGCGGUGACAAUGGGAUGCUAAGGGGCGACCCUUCGCAAAUCUCAAAAAGCCGUCUCAGUUCGGAUUGGGCUCUGCAACUCGAGCCCAUGAAGUUGGAAUCGCUAGUAAUCGUGGAUCAGCACGCCACGGUGAAUA